Meleagris gallopavo (turkey) is the source of this 2868-nucleotide non-coding RNA. NCBI's taxonomy places the organism in Eukaryota, Metazoa, Chordata, Aves, Galliformes, Phasianidae. The record is from RefSeq and is a predicted model, not a curated record.
UCUCACAGGACAAGGCAUAGUGAUGUUUUAAUCUUGUAGCAGAUCUGUGAAUGCUGAUCUUUGUACUAAAUUGUGUACCUUGUUAAAUUUGGGAACCUCUCUGUGAUGCUUCCAGAGUUGCUCUUUAUAAGUGCUGACAGGUCCUAAAGGUGUUAUCUCUUGCUGCUAUUAAGUUAAAGUUGUCUUUGGUGAUCUAGACACCAAAAGAGGAAAUCAUCCAAGAAACAAAAAAGCCACACCCAAAUUGUUCCAUAAGCCAUUUUUUCAUCCUUUAUUUCACAAAUUUUCACUUUAUUUUUUUUUAACUUCAAGAACAAUUGUUAUCACAGAAUUAACAAGAGGGGAACAACCAGAAAAGGGAAUGAAGAGGAUGUGACUAACAAUGGCUUGCUUUUGCCAUUUGAUAGGAAGUGAUUGGCAUUUGAGGUUACCAGACAGAAGUACAAGUACAUGAAAAUCUACAAACUGCAUGACUACUGAAGGACACAUGAUUGCAAUGGCCAGAAUCCAGAUGACUGUUAUAAUGAUGAUAGCAGUUGAGGUGGUCAACUUCUUAUUAAAUGGAUAAACGAUGCAUCGAAACCUGCAGCAAAGGCAUCCAGGAAUGUAUGUGGAGAAGCCAUUUAGAGAAUGCUUAGAGAGCAAUUGCAACCAAAGUGAAGAUGGAGGCAGAGACAGAGACUCCUUGGACCAUCCCACUCAUCUUGCAAACCAUGCUUCCAAAUGGCCAUCCUGGAAGGAAAUGGAACAAUAUAGCAGACUACUCCGUUGCCAGCCAUACAGAGCAGGAAGAUGAGGAGGUAAGAGGCAAUGAAGACAGCUGCCACUGAAGGCUGGUGGUGGUAGAAGUCCACAUAGGAGACAUUGCCUUCUAAGUAGAGUUUCAGCUACCUCCUCAAAUUCCUGAUGACGGUAUUUCCUAUGUCUGUGAAAUCAUGGCAGAAGAUGUGAUAUUCUGCUGUCACCCUGCAUAGGGCAGUCCUCUACUGAAGAAAAGGAAUAUGAGGAAACUGCCAAAAGAGUGCUCUGUGUCCUUAGAGAUGAGCCUGGCAUGUACCACUAGUGACAAGAACACACUAGCAGUUUUAGUGGCAAGCUCCUGAAGCAGAUUGUGACGUUGCUGUUGCAUGGCAUGUGGCUGUAGAUUCAUAUGGUAUCUGGUGAAGAUAAUUAUCCUUUCUUCUCUAUGUACUUGAGCAAGUAUUCCCAAAAGGUAUCCUGCCCAGGGUAAGUGUCUUUGUCUAAAUAAAGGUCAGGUGGUGUAUGGGCUGCAGCUGGACUUCUUUCUGUCUGCCACUAGAUGCAUUAGAGGGAGUUAUCUGUCCUCUCCAGCGUAGUGUCUCAAGUAUGUAUACAAUCAUUGUGUGCUGUGUGAGAAGUGUCUGAGAGGCUAGGAUGUCACUGACCGAUAAAAUAAUAAAAAUGGUUACAAACUUCAUACCAAGUGUAAAGCCAUAACUUAAGUUGCAACAAUGAUUUCUCACUUAGGUCUGGGAGCUCAUCAGUAAGAAAUGUCAGGCAUUAAGGAAACUCUGGAAUUAUUAACCCGAGGAAUGUAUGAAUUAUUUUAAUAACUCAGCAGGAUCUUAGGAGAGCACAACAUGGAGUGUUUCUGAUGGAGGUGAUGGCUUUGAAAGUUCCGCAGGAUAGUUAGAAGACUUUACCUGGAACUGCCUUUGUUAGUUAAAGCCCAUCUAGAAAGGUUGACUUAAAAUAAAACAAAUUAACAGAGAUAGUGCUGGAAGACUGAAUGUGGGCACUCUUUGAAGGAGGGAAACUACAAAGAGCUCCCUGUUGUAUAGACUGUUCAGCACAUGCUGAGACAAAUCUCAUUUUCCUUUGUUCUGGUAUCUCAAAUAAAUUCUAGGAAACACUCAAAAUAUUUAGCUACAAGAAGGUAUUGGAAACAUACACGUUGGGUGUAAGCUGGCAAAGUGCAAAUUUAGGAAAUUAAGAAUCUUUGCCAUGGCUUCCUGUAGAAGCAGAAGCCAGAAAGUAUUCUGAAGAUGGCAAUUUUUCACUUGGAGAAUAAGAGAUGCUCCCUCAUGAAUUCUGAACUCUUGAUAAAGCCUGACUCUUAAGAAGCUAUCGUGGCAUGGGGAUAUUCAUUGGGCAUCAGCGAUUACACUCUCACCAGUGCAGGCAAGAGUGAAUAUUGAAAAAGGAUUGCUGGUUGGUAUUUCAAAAGCUCAAAUAACUAGCUUUUAAACUUGAGGCUCUCCUUUCUCUUUUUGGAUGGCAUAUCUAUCAUUUUUCUCCAUUUUCUAUUAGAUGACAAUUUAAAAGGAAACUUUUUUUUAGCUAAAGUAAUGUUCUGCAGCUGGUGGCAACAGCUGUAUAGCUGUGAUUUGUUUUCAGUUGGAUGGGUUGCUCAGGGCUUGAGGAAAAUAAGGCUAGGAUGACUUUGCUUGUGUUGGGAGAGUAAAUACUGUUUUAGGGGACUAAGAAAUUAAAGAUGUGUUACGUACAGAAAUGAGUUCAGAAAUUAAGGCAAGCUCAGAAGUAUGUUUUAAGAUAUAAGGUGUGUUUUUAUUUCAAAGUAGAAGAGCAUGAACCCAGAAACUCGAGAGUUUCAGCAUUUUACUUCAUUGCCUUGCUGUGACAUUGCACUGGAUAGACUUGAAAACUGGAUGUUGGCUAUGCGAGACUACAUGAGAGGUGCAGAAUGAAAUGAUUAAAGAGACCUUUUGGGAAGACCCCUGCUGAGCAACAGGUUAUACAGAGAGGUUACACAAAAAGACCUGAGGGAAGUCAGGAAAGAUGCAAGGUUUGGCUGGGUGCUUGUAGUGGUGCUUUUGAAAAGAAAGGAAAAAAGUAAGGAAAAGAAGGAAAGGAACAGAAUAAAAAAGGUAAAGAGGAAAGAGGAAA